RNAcentral lists this ribosomal RNA (372 nucleotides) under uncultured organism. RNAcentral's name for it is "bacterial SSU rRNA". It matches the Rfam family "Bacterial small subunit ribosomal RNA", at positions 526 to 896 of the family's 1533-position model. The record is from RNAcentral.
CGGGGGGGGCAAGCGUUGUUCGGAAUUACUGGGCGUAAAGGGCGCGUAGGCGGUUCGCUAAGUCGGAUGUGAAAACUCUGGGCUCAACCCAGAGCCUGCAUCCGAAACUGGCGGGCUAGAGUUCUGGAGGGGGUAGCGGAAUUCCUGGUGUAGCGGUGAAAUGCGUAGAUAUCAGGAGGAACACCGGUGGCGAAGGCGGCUACCUGGACAGAAACUGACGCUGAGGCGCGAAAGCUAGGGGAGCAAACAGGAUUAGAUACCCUGGUAGUCCUAGCCCUAAACGAUGGAUACUUGGUGUGACGGGGAUUGAAUCCCGUCGUGCCGAAGCUAACGCAUUAAGUAUCCCGCCUGGGGAGUACGGUCGCAAGGCUG